GGGGUGUUAGCUCAGUUGGUUUAGAGCGCCGGCCUGUCACGCCGGAGGUCGAGGGUUCAAGUCCCUUACAUCCCGCCA
RNAcentral lists this transfer RNA (78 nucleotides) under Coriobacteriia bacterium. RNAcentral describes it as "tRNA-Asp". It matches the Rfam family "tRNA". From Rfam's summary of the family: Transfer RNA (tRNA) molecules are approximately 80 nucleotides in length. Their secondary structure includes four short double-helical elements and three loops (D, anti-codon, and T loops). Further hydrogen bonds mediate the characteristic L-shaped molecular structure. tRNAs have two regions of fundamental functional importance: the anti-codon, which is responsible for specific mRNA codon recognition, and the 3' end, to which the tRNAs corresponding amino acid is attached (by aminoacyl-tRNA synthetases). tRNAs cope with the degeneracy of the genetic code in two manners: having more than one tRNA (with a specific anti-codon) for a particular amino acid; and 'wobble' base-pairing, i.e. permitting non-standard base-pairing at the 3rd anti-codon position. The record is from RNAcentral. RNAcentral also lists the same sequence under 5 other names. Lineage: Bacteria; Bacillati; Actinomycetota; Coriobacteriia.